RNAcentral lists this unclassified non-coding RNA (253 nucleotides) under uncultured Flavobacteriaceae bacterium. RNAcentral's name for it is "contains 16S-23S intergenic spacer region". It matches the Rfam family "Bacterial small subunit ribosomal RNA", at positions 524 to 776 of the family's 1533-position model. Lineage: Bacteria; Pseudomonadati; Bacteroidota; Flavobacteriia; Flavobacteriales; Flavobacteriaceae. The record is from RNAcentral.
UACGGAGGAUGCAAGCGUUAUCCGGAAUCAUUGGGUUUAAAGGGUCCGUAGGCGGGUUCAUAAGUCAGAGGUGAAAGUCUGCAGCUCAACUGUAGAAGUGCCUUUGAUACUGGUAACCUUGAGUAAGUAUGAAGUGGUUAGAAUAUGUAGUGUAGCGGUGAAAUGCAUAGAUAUUACAUAGAAUACCGAUUGCGAAGGCAGAUCACUAAUAAUUUACUGACGCUGAGGGACGAAAGCGUAGGUAGCGAACAGG